Molecule: long non-coding RNA, 648 nt
Filed under: Phascolarctos cinereus (koala)
Lineage: Eukaryota; Metazoa; Chordata; Mammalia; Diprotodontia; Phascolarctidae
Description: lncRNA (ENSPCIG00000032658.1)
Source: RNAcentral
AAAUAACGGAGGGGGAAGACCAGGAAAAAAAAAAGGUGGGGGGAGAGACUUGGCAAAGGAAAUCUUAUGGGUAUAGGGGAACUGCAGAUCUCUGAAUUCCGAAACAAGAGCUAGAGCUGAAAUGUGAUUCUCUAGUGCCUGGCGUAGCUCGCAUCUCGCCGGUUACAAUUGUGCAGGAUGCUCAGAGGAGCCCUUUGGAUCGCACAAUGAACUUGGGGGGACCAUACAGCCGAGCAAGCCAGUAAGGCACCUGGAAGUUUGGCUAGGAUUUCGAGGGGGGUUUUCUGAUUCUUAGGAGAAUCCUGCCUGCUUUCAGCUGUGUGGAGGAGGACUCCAGUUUCCCCAUGAGGGGCCCACUUGGAAAAACCGUCUGUGCAGACUCCCGACUAAGCUGCUGUGUUUGUUAUUUACCCCAAACCUCUUCUCACCUUUGCUGAUUUUGUUCAUGCGAUUUACACCUACUGAGCCACGGGAAGGAUUUUAGGAUGGAUUGUCUGUGUAUUGUCACCACCAAGCACAACCAAGGAAAAUGCCCAGCCCAGAACUGCUCAGUGGAACCUCCUGCCUGGAUGCCUGUUCACCACUGUACUGUAAGUUUGAGAUUUUUGAUUCCCAGUUUGGUGAAGCAGAAGGCUGAGAGUUCUCAGU